Phrynosoma platyrhinos (Desert horned lizard) is the source of this 72-nucleotide non-coding RNA. Lineage: Eukaryota; Metazoa; Chordata; Lepidosauria; Squamata; Phrynosomatidae. The record is from the annotation of a GenBank genome assembly.
GGCAGCAUGGAGGAGUGGUUUGAGCAUUGGACUAUAACUCUAAAGACCAGGGUUUAAAUCCCAGUCCAGCCA